Molecule: ribosomal RNA, 284 nt
Filed under: uncultured bacterium
Lineage: Bacteria
Description: partial 16S ribosomal RNA
Rfam family: Bacterial small subunit ribosomal RNA
Source: RNAcentral
CGGUAAGGAAGCGGGGAGCGACUUAGCGGCGGACGGGUGAGUAACGCGUGGGUAACCUGCCCCAUACCGGGGGAUAACGGUUAGAAAUGACCGCUAAUACCGCGUAAGCGCGCGAGGCCGCAUGGCCCCGCGCGAAAAACUCCGGUGGUAUGGGAUGGGCCCGCGUCUGAUUAGCUAGUUGGCGGGGUAAAGGCCCACCAAGGCGACGAUCAGUAGCCGACCUGAGAGGGUGGCCGGCCACAUUGGGACUGAGACACGGCCCAAACUCCUACGGAAGGCAGCAG